Molecule: ribosomal RNA, 622 nt
Filed under: uncultured Bacteroidales bacterium
Lineage: Bacteria; Pseudomonadati; Bacteroidota; Bacteroidia; Bacteroidales
Description: bacterial SSU rRNA
Rfam family: Bacterial small subunit ribosomal RNA
Source: RNAcentral
GGCGCACGGGUGAGUAACACGUAUCCAACCUGCCGUCUACUCUUGGCCAGCCUUCUGAAAGGAAGAUUAAUCCAGGAUGGCAUCAUGAGUUCACAUGUCCGCAUGAUUAAAGGUAUUUUCCGGUAGACGAUGGGGAUGCGUUCCAUUAGAUAGUAGGCGGGGUAACGGCCCACCUAGUCAACGAUGGAUAGGGGUUCUGAGAGGAAGGUCCCCCACAUUGGAACUGAGACACGGUCCAAACUCCUACGGGAGGCAGCAGUGAGGAAUAUUGGUCAAUGGGCGAUGGCCUGAACCAGCCAAGUAGCGUGAAGGAUGACUGCCCUAUGGGUUGUAAACUUCUUUUAUAAAGGAAUAAAGUCGGGUAUGCAUACCCGUUUGCAUGUACUUUAUGAAUAAGGAUCGGCUAACUCCGUGCCAGCAGCCGCGGUAAUACGGAGGAUCCGAGCGUUAUCCGGAUUUAUUGGGUUUAAAGGGAGCGUAGAUGGAUGUUUAAGUCAGUUGUGAAAGUUUGCGGCUCAACCGUAAAAUUGCAGUUGAUACUGGAUGUCUUGAGUGCAGUUGAGGCAGGCGGAAUUCGUGGUGUAGCGGUGAAAUGCUUAGAUAUCACGAAGAACUCCGAUUG